RNAcentral lists this ribosomal RNA (439 nucleotides) under uncultured bacterium. Its description in RNAcentral is "partial 16S ribosomal RNA". It matches the Rfam family "Bacterial small subunit ribosomal RNA", at positions 338 to 795 of the family's 1533-position model. The record is from RNAcentral.
CCUACGGUGGGCAGCAGUGGGGGAUAUUGCACAAUGGGGGGAACCCUGAUUCAGCGACGCCGCGUGGGUGAAGGAGCGUUUCGGCGCGUAAAGCCCUAUCGGCAGGGAAGAAGAUGACGGUACCUGACCAAGAAGCCCCGGCUAACUACGUGCCAGCAGCCGCGGUAAUACGGAGGAUGCGAGCGUUAUCCGGAUUUAUUGGGUUUAAAGGGUGCGUAGGCGGUAUUUGAAGUUAGUGGUAAAACGUCGGGGCUUCACCUUGAUUGGCCAUUAACACUGGAGUACUAGAGUAGAGACGAGGUAGGCGGAAUAAGUUAAGUAGCGGUGAAAUGCUUAGAUAUAACUUAGAACCCCGAUAGCGAAGGCAGCUUACCAGACUGUUACUGACGCUGAAGCACGAGAGCGUGGGUAGCGAACAGGAUUAGAUACCCGAGUAGUC